GGCCAGCCAGGGACGGGGAGGCAAGCAGAUGUGGGGACUUGGUAGCGUGCAAUCGGAAAGGGUAGCGCGCACACACCAUUAUAUUCGUUUUCCAUGAUCGCUCGGAAGGGAUCUGAAGUUGGAGUGCCCAGGAUUUGCGCCGAUUUGGUUACGUCUCGAUGAAAUCGCGCAAGCGAGAAGCUGCGACAGCGUCGUCGGAGCAAGGGAUUUGCAGUUCUGGCGAGUGGAGAGGGGAUGAGCGAGGAGGAGGAGGAGGGGCGUUGCUGCCCGGUUUGCCGGAUGAGGUAGCUGCCCUUGUGCUGGCCAGGCUGCCGAGGUCGCUGCUGCUGGAGUUGAAGAGGGUCUGCAAGUCCUGGAAGAAGGCGCUGGAGCAGCCUUUCGUUGCGGAGACAAGGGCGGGGUUGCCGGGGUGCAUGGAGGAGUGGUUGUAUGUCCAGAGCUGGAAUUCCUACACCGGAAAGGUGGCAUGGUGGGCGUUUGAUUGGCAGGUCGGGAAGUGGCUGUGCCUGCCCACUGUUCCGCGCAGGCGGGGUGUGUCGGCGGAGGUUUUCGGACGGGCGUCCGCCGUGCUGCGUGGGAAGUUGUAUGUGAUGGGGGGAAAAGCGGGACCUUGUGGUCCCACGCUGCGCGAUCUCUUUGUUUACUGCCCCCUUAGGAAUAAAUGGUCGCGACGGAAGCAAAUGAUCAGCACACGUCACAGCCCUCUCGUCUGCGUCUUACGUGGGAAGUUGUACGUGCUAGGUGGGUUUGAUUGGGAUAAUCAGCGUAUGGAUGCAUCAGAGGUCUACGAUUACGAAAAAGAUGAGUGGGCUGUCAUUGAGAACACAGGGCAUCCUACGUUACCAGCUCCUUCGUGGUACAAAAAAGAUUGGCGACCAGAAUGGCAAAGCAUUGUCCUUAACAACCAAUCCUAUUUUUGCUCCUACACUGAGGAAGACGGACGUGCUUUUAUCAAAGAAUAUGAUCCUGAAACUGGCAUUUGGAAACUUAAAAAGCACAAGCUCAAGGCAUUAUUAAGGUAUGGAUUGAGCACGGUGCUGGCUGGGAAACUGCACACAGUGGAUUGGGCAGCUGGAAGGGUACGCGUAGCUGACACCAGUGGCAUGGGGUGGAUUCAAAUGAAGGAGAUUCAAAAUCUACCUUGGGUACAAAUCUGGAGAGCUAAUCCACAAAUGGUGGGGCUCGGAACAUCCUUGUUUGUUGUGAAAAGAGGCCUUCAGAUUAUGAGUAUAGAUGUCAGCAAAGUGGACUCCGGACAGUUGCUGCGCUUCUGGGGUGCCCCAAUGGGUCCCGGUGUCAAGGAUGAAGAGGUCCUCAGCUGCGAAGUAUUGGCACUAUGAUCCUUGCCUUGUAUUUCUGCUGGUCUUGAGCAGAGACUGUAAGCUAGGAUAACAUGGGUCUAUUACCUUGUGUUGAAUUGAUCUGAAGAGGGAGGGAGAAACGGUGUAUGCUUAAAUUUUCCCUCGUCACCAGCAGCACAAGGCUGCAUCCUUCAGUUGGCAAAGAAAUGCCAUGAACCUUUUGAUGGAAGAACGGAAUCAUGUGAUGAGUCCCACCGGAAGGAUCUUAGCGAGGUUUACAUAUGUUGUAGGCCGUUGGCGGAUGGAUCGUGUCGUAGAUGUAUUGGGGAGCCGAACCGUAUAGAACUAUUGAAAAGUAGAAAAUUCUGUUUGCAAGCAGAGGAUGUUGUUGCGUUGGAGAAUGACUUAAAGAGCAAUAGCAUCCUGUUCCGUCUGAAGGACAAUUCUUGCAUGGCUGCAUUUUUUGAGGUGCACCUAAAUAUCACGGUGUUCUUUGCCAGUGCCAUCACUGAGCAGACUGCACAAAUACUACUUGCACAGCUGCCUCUCCCAAAAAUUGCCACAAACUGAAGAUUUUGAAGUAAGGUGAGUGAGCAGUCCUGUUGUCACUGUUUCCAGUUUGUUGGGGUUUAUGAUAUAAAUGCAACUUUAGAUGAAAUGUGAUCAUGUUAUUAAACCAUAAAAUUGAAAAUGAUGGUAGAAAAAACGUGAAACCGAGAUAUUGAAUCCACAUUUAUUCGUCAAUAAAUCGUAGAACUAUUCAUGCACCAAGGCAGAUUUUCAACUUUGAACGUCUGAAGUGACCUCAGGUGCCCAUCGGUUGGGUUGUACCAUAUAUUCCAAUUGUGCUGUAUGUGCUUUUUCAAACGUCUUUGAGAUUUAACUUUGAUAUAUAUAUAUAUUUAUAUUCUCAUACAUUUACAAUUACACUCUUCAUUAAGUUAGGCAUUGGUUGAGCUAUUAGUGAAUCGAUAUUUUGAAAAAUUCACCAAAAUUACAUGUUCUAUUGCUCAGCUUGAAAUUAUGAAAGUGGUCUAACAGAUGGAUGCUGCACAGAAAGUUUAACUACUGUUGUCAAUAAUUAAUAGAUUUGGUAUAUACAAUGGUGCGCUCUAGUUGAUACAAGUGAGCAAUAUAUCAAAAGAAUGGUGAGCUGUGCAAAUUUCAGCUUAUAGUAUUACCAGUUUGAAAUUGAUGAUUUAGCAUAUAUAAUUAUGGUAUAUUCUUAUAAAAAGAAAAAUCGCUUGAAAUCAAUAUUUUGAAAGGGUUUUGAACUGUCUACUUGUGUGAAUGUCACCUAAAAAACAAAUGAGACUACCAAUUUCUAUUUCAAUACAAGCUGAUAUUUUGUUUGAAUACAUGUAGAAGAGGAGUUCGGAAUUAGGAACACUUUUGAACAAUUAUCAAUGUUAUCCACAGGUUAAACCAUUUGUGGGAGGAAUAUCAGUACUUUGUCGUAUUAACCCA
Physcomitrium patens is the source of this 2768-nucleotide non-coding RNA. The record is from RefSeq and is a predicted model, not a curated record. Lineage: Eukaryota; Viridiplantae; Streptophyta; Bryopsida; Funariales; Funariaceae.